CCUCCUCAUCUGUCAGCUUCUCACCAAGAUUUGUCAUAACAUGGCGAAGUUCAGCAGCAGAAAUGAAGCCAUUCUGAUCCUUAUCAAAAACCCGGAAAGCUUCCUUGAGCUCUUCCUCAGAAUCAGUGUCCUUCAUCUUGCGGGCCAUCAGAUUAAGGAACUCCGGGAAAUCAAUAGUACCAUUCCCAUCAGCAUCAACCUCAUUUAUCAUGUCCUGGAGCUCUGCUUCAGUUGGGUUUUGGCCCAGUGAUCGCAUUACAGUCCCAAGUUCCUUAGUAGU
RNAcentral lists this unclassified non-coding RNA (280 nucleotides) under Hevea brasiliensis (rubber tree). The record is from RNAcentral. Lineage: Eukaryota; Viridiplantae; Streptophyta; Magnoliopsida; Malpighiales; Euphorbiaceae.